Lepisosteus oculatus (spotted gar) is the source of this 1219-nucleotide non-coding RNA. The record is from RefSeq and is a predicted model, not a curated record. NCBI's taxonomy places the organism in Eukaryota, Metazoa, Chordata, Actinopteri, Semionotiformes, Lepisosteidae.
GCCCGCUCUGCCUUGGGGCCCGGACCUGCGCAGCCGCAGGGGCCCGCUCUGCCUUGGGGCCCGGACCUGCGCAGUCGCACUGCUCGGUAGUGGUCACACAGGCCUGUGAGGCUCCACACUACAGCAGAGAAGCCAGCAGGCAGCUACAUCUCCUGCAAAGCAGCCAGACACCCACAGAUCCUUUCCCCAUUGAAAGGGAGAAAGAGAUCUCUGUCAUAUAGUAACAGUACUGGAAUAUUAGUGCCACAGUGACUCCGCUCAGAAGCUCCCUGAUCAGCGCUGUGUCUCUGGCUGUCCUCCUCAGAAAGUGGUGAUUAUAGUGGCAAUAGCCCUGGUGUGUCUGGCAGUCCUUGCGCUCAUCAUCGGACUGUCGGUGGGACUCACUCGCAAAUGAGACUUCAGUCUAAAGUCAUCAUUCUAAGUGUGGUCUGCACAGUCCUAGUUUUGGUCAUCCUGGCAAUUGUUCUGGGAACAACCAUUAAGUGACAAGAAGGCUGAAACCUUGCAUCCUACAAAUCCCUCCUAUCAUCCCUUGUUUCCUAAUCUCCCUGUUCCCUGUGCAACUGUUGGCCUUCCUGACCCCGGCGCCCACCAAUCAGACGAAGACAACUGGGUGGGAACUUCCUGUUUUCUGUCGUGGCUCCUCCCAUUCUGUGGAGCUCCGCCCAUGCACUCCUGAGAUGGACACGCCCACUGAGGAGAGCGAGAGGGAGAUGGACAGACAGAGCCAGACCAUGGAGACAGACAGUGUGAAGGCUCUCUCUUCCUCGCUCUCACUCAUCCUGCUGCUCGCCACGUCUUGCCACACUAAGUCAGCCGGGCAGGGCCUCCUGGGCUUGUCUCCAUCCUGCUCGUCCCUCUGAUGACGUUUGCUCCCGUCUACCAGUUGAGGACCUGUGCCCACUCACCCUUUCUGCCUCACGUCCUGUCUGACUUGGCCGGUCCCCUUCUGCAGAGUGAGCCCCUUCCCUCCUCUUUCUCCUGCUCUGAGGUUUCCCUGUAUCCAGCUCCCAAUCCGGGCCUGGGGCUGAGCCAGUCAGAAUGCCCCCGACUGUGCCCCACUCACUUCACCAGAUUCUACCACUGAGACCGCGCUGAUUAUCACAGAGGGGAGAGCAUGUGACUUUCAGAUUUGAUUUGACAGUAAUUUUUUGUUAUUGUUCUCAAUCUUUAAACAUUUUAACUGAAGGAAUAAAGAGAUUUUAUAUUUUGUGUUUUA